GCCGGGCAUGGUGGUGGAUGCCUGUAAUCCCAGCUACUCGGGAGGCUGAGGCAGGAGAAUUGUUUGAACCCAGGAGGUGGAGGUUGCAGUCAUCAUGCCACUGUGCUCUAGCCUGGGUUACAUAGCCAGACCCUGUCUCAA
Pongo abelii (Sumatran orangutan) is the source of this 141-nucleotide unclassified non-coding RNA. It matches the Rfam family "Metazoan signal recognition particle RNA". Rfam says of the family: The signal recognition particle (SRP) is a universally conserved ribonucleoprotein. It is involved in the co-translational targeting of proteins to membranes. The record is from Ensembl. Lineage: Eukaryota; Metazoa; Chordata; Mammalia; Primates; Hominidae.